Molecule: RNA transcript, 2678 nt
Organism: Prunus persica (peach)
Lineage: Eukaryota; Viridiplantae; Streptophyta; Magnoliopsida; Rosales; Rosaceae
Gene name: G-type lectin S-receptor-like serine/threonine-protein kinase At1g11410
Exons: 7
Source: RefSeq, a predicted model, not a curated record
AUGACUCAUUGAGAAAGUUAGCCAUGAAUUCUACUACUAGAUGGUUUGCCAUGAAUAUGAUUUUGCUCAACUUCUUUCCAAUCCUCCCCUCUUCCACUUCCAUUGUCAUUGGCUCUAUAAAUCCAAAUCAAACCAUGAGAGAUGGCGAUGUUCUUCUCUCCAGUACUAAAAUCUUUGCACUUGGGUUUUUCAGCCCGGCCAAUUCUCGUAACCGGUAUGUUGGAAUUUGGUACAACAAUGUUCCAAACCAAACCAUUGUCUGGGUUGCAAACAGAGACAACCCCAUCAUUCCUGUCACUGAUAAUAAUGCCUCUGGAGUUGGACUUCUAGCUGUUCAUGGAAAUGGAGGCCUGGUCAUCUAUGGGAAGGACCAAAAUACCCCUCUUUGGUCUGCUAAUGUUUCAGUCUCUUCGCCAAACAAUUCCAUGACAGCCAAGCUUUUGGAUACAGGAAAUCUUGUUUUGCUUGAGGACGAUGGUUUUAGCCAAAGGGUAUUGUGGCAAGGCUUUGAUCAUCCCACAAAUACAAUGCUUCCAUUCAUGAAACUUGGGCUAGACCGGCGGUCCAAGUUGAAUCGGUUUCUCACAUCAUGGAAAUCUAAAGAUGAUCCGGGAAUCGGUAACUAUUCGUAUCGGAUAGACCCAAGUGGGUUUCCGCAGGCCUUUUUAUACAAGGGUCAAGCUCCACGCUGGCGGGCUGGGUCAUGGACCGGAGAGAGAUGGAGCGGUGUGCCCAAAAUGAGAAACUUCAUAUUCAACGUUAGUUUUGUGAACAAUCAAGAUGAGUUAUCAAUUAUGUACAUGAGUGAAUCAAUCCUCUCGAGGAUGGUGCUCGAUGAAUCAGGAGUCGUUGUACGGUCUAUAUGGCAUGAUCAAGGGCAGCAAUGGAUCAAGUAUUGGUCUGCCCCAGAAGAGGAGUGUGAUGAAUAUGGGAAGUGCGGUGCCAAUAGCAAUUGUGACCCAUCCAAUAUGGCUAAGUUCGAGUGCACGUGCCUACCCGGAUACGAACCCAAGUUGCCACGUGAUUGGUAUUUGAGAGAUGGGUCGGGUGGGUGCGUGAGGAAAAGCGGAGUAUCUAUCUAUAUGUGGAAACGGGGAUGGGUUCGUGAAGGUUGAACAUGUGAAUCUACCCGACUCAUCUAAGGCACGUGUGAACAUGAAUUUGAGUUGGAAAGCAUGCCAGCAGGAGUGCUUGAGAAAUUGUUCUUGCAAGGCGUGCGCAAAAGCAGACGAGAGAUGGGGAGGGUUUGGAUGCGUGACAUGGCAUGGGGACUUGAUGGACACUAGAACAUUUUCGAAUGCUGGCCAGGAUUUCUAUGUACGAGUUGAUGCAAUUGCGUUAGCUCAAUAUGCAAAGUCAAAUCGUUCACUUAACAAGAAGGGAAAACUGGCAAUUUCUCUAGUUUCUGUUCUGGUGUUCCUUCUUCUUGUAGUUCCCAUUUCUUAUUGGUUGGUAAGGAGGAAAAGAAAAGGUAAGCAAAGACAAAAUAAGUAUUCCUCUAGAGUUACCACAAGGUCAACCUACUUUGAAGAUUCUACUGCAGAACUUGAUGAAAGCAGUAUGCACUCAGACAUACCAUUCUUUGAUCUAACAACCAUAGCAGCGGCCACGGACAAUUUCUCUCUCGCAAACAAGCUUGGAAAGGGGGGUUUUGGCUCAGUCUAUAAGGGUGUGCUUUGUAAUGGAAAAGAAGUGGCAGUGAAAAGAUUAUCAAAACAUUCUGGUCAAGGAACUGAGGAAUUUAAGAAUGAAAUUGUGCUGAUUGCAAAACUCCAACACAGGAACCUUGUCAGGAUUUUAGGUUAUUGCGUUCAAGAUGAAGAGAAGAUGCUAAUCUAUGAAUAUGUGCCAAACAAAAGCUUGGACUCUUUCAUAUUCCAUGACACAAAAAGAGCACUUCUAGAUUGGACAGUACGCUUCGGGAUCAUCUAUGGGAUUGCUAGAGGGAUCUUGUAUCUUCAUCAAGAUUCGAGAUUAAGGAUUAUCCACAGAGAUCUAAAGGCCAGUAAUGUUCUACUGGAUGCUUCUAUGAACCCCAAAAUUUCAGAUUUUGGUAUGGCUAGAAUAUUUAGAGGAGACCAAAGUGAAGCGAAUACAAGUCGUGUGGUUGGAACAUAUGGUUAUAUGUCACCAGAGUACGCAAUGGAAGGACAUUUUUCAAUGAAAUCUGAUGUAUAUAGUUUUGGAGUUAUACUCCUAGAAAUCGUUACUGGCAGAAAAAAUUAUGGUUAUUACCACGACAAGUAUCCCGGCGUAAAUUUGGUUGGACAUGUUUGGAACUUGUGGAGAGAAGGUAAAGUCUUGGAAAUCGUCGAUCCAUCUCUGGGUGAAUUGUACCCUGUCGAUGAAGUUGUGAGAUGCUUCCAAAUUGCACUCUUAUGUGUGCAAGAGUAUGCCACUGACCGGCCAACCAUGUCAGCAGUUGUUUUCAUGUUAGGGAAUUAUGAUGCAGCAGUUCCUUCACCCAGACAGCCUGCAUUUUUGUUACAGAGAACUUAUGAUGCUGGAGACCCAUUAACCAGUACAGAAGGAGCUAAGUCUAUGAAUGAUGUUACAUGUACUAGUGUACAAGCUCGCUAAAAGGCCUAGGCCACAAAAUAUUGGAUGUUAAGCUACGGCAACUAUAGCAGCCUGCGUCAAAAUUAUUCACUUAAGAGGCUUUUUGGUUGCUGCAUUCA